This 492-nucleotide ribosomal RNA is filed under the name uncultured bacterium. RNAcentral's name for it is "partial 16S ribosomal RNA". It matches the Rfam family "Bacterial small subunit ribosomal RNA", at positions 30 to 507 of the family's 1533-position model. The record is from RNAcentral.
AUUGAACGCUGGCGGCAUGCUUUACACAUGCAAGUCGAACGGUAACAGGCCUUCGGGUGCUGACGAGUGGCGAACGGGUGGGUAAUGCAUCGGAACGUGCCCAGAGGUGGGGGAUAACGCAGCGAAAGCUGUGCUAAUACCGCAUGUGAUCUGAGGAUGAAAGCGGGGGACCAAGCAGCAAUGUUUGGCCUCGCGCCUCUGGAGCGGCCGAUGUCAGAUUAGGUAGUUGGUGGGGUAAAGGCCUACCAAGCCGACGAUCUGUAGCUGGUCUGAGAGGACGACCAGCCACACUGGGACUGAGACACGGCCCAGACUCCUACGGGAGGCAGCAGUGGGGAAUUUUGGACAAUGGGCGCAAGCCUGAUCCAGCAAUGCCGCGUGCGGGAAGAAGGCCUUCGGGUUGUAAACCGCUUUUGUACGGAACGAAAAGGCUCUGGCUAAUACCUGGGGCUAAUGACGGUACCGUAAGAAUAAGCACCGGCUAACUACGUG